GGGGCUAAUACCGCAUAACAUCCCUGGGACUCAAGUUUCGGGGAUCAAAGCUCGCAAGAGCGCUCAAGGAGGGGCCCGCGCCUGAUUAGCUAGUUGGUAGGGUAACGGCCUACCAAGGCUUCGAUCAGUAGCCGGCCUGAGAGGGCGAACGGCCACACUGGAACUGAGACACGGUCCAGACUCCUACGGGAGGCAGCAGUGGGGAAUUUUGCGCAAUGGACGAAAGUCUGACGCAGCAACGCCGCGUGGGUGAUGAAGUCCCUUGGGAUGUAAAACCCUGUCAGCUGGGACGAAACGGCCCGCAAGGGCAAUUGACUGUACCAGCAGAGGAAGCCCCGGCUAACUCCGUGCCAGCAGCCGCGGUAAUACGGGGGGGGCAAGCGUUGUUCGGAAUUACUGGGCGUAAAGGGCGUGUAGGCGGCCUAACAAGUCAGCUGUGAAAUCCCCAGGCUCAACCUGGGAAUUGCAU
RNAcentral lists this ribosomal RNA (469 nucleotides) under uncultured bacterium. RNAcentral's name for it is "bacterial SSU rRNA". It matches the Rfam family "Bacterial small subunit ribosomal RNA", at positions 159 to 626 of the family's 1533-position model. The record is from RNAcentral.